AAAGAAAGGAAGAAUAACUUAAGAGCAAGAGGAGAAAGAAGUUCACAUCUCCAUUUUCGUAUUCCAUGGUGCAACUCCACUAAAUCAGCUUCUGUUUUGGAGGAGAAAACUGACCUUGAAGUUGUGUCAGUUAUGCUGAAUGUGUGUUAUGGAGAGCUACGAAUUUCUUGCUAAUGGAGAUGGAAGUUUGAGUAAGAUAAGAGUUCAAAGGCUGCAUUAACACCAUCUAAACCUCUAUUAAUCCAAGGUGCAGUUUAGUAGCUUUUGACAGAUAGCAGUUUCGGAUUGAUGGCUUGAAGUGGUGUUGGCUCGAAGACCUCUUCAGAUCUCUCUUUCCGCUGUGCAGAUCCAUUGAAGACA
Long non-coding RNA from Vicia villosa (hairy vetch), 360 nucleotides. RefSeq lists it as uncharacterized. NCBI's taxonomy places the organism in Eukaryota, Viridiplantae, Streptophyta, Magnoliopsida, Fabales, Fabaceae. The record is from RefSeq and is a predicted model, not a curated record. The transcript is spliced from 3 exons.